Molecule: long non-coding RNA, 243 nt
Filed under: Carica papaya (papaya)
Lineage: Eukaryota; Viridiplantae; Streptophyta; Magnoliopsida; Brassicales; Caricaceae
Description: long non-coding RNA (CPAP_LNC000518)
Source: RNAcentral
GAAUAAUUGCGGAUCAAAUCCCUUAGACUGAGGGCUUAAGUAGAAAAAGCCUUUAGAGUACCUAAGAAAAAUAAGUCUUCUUUUCAAAAUUAGACCACUAACUCAUGUCUUCCUUUCUUUUGUAGGAAUGACACGAGGAAGACCAUCUAUAGAGAGUACUGAGCAACCUAAAGUCCUAGAUCACCCAACUAGGGUUGAAUUUACCGAACUCUUCUGAGUUGUCUAAAGACUAACUAUAGCUGU